Molecule: long non-coding RNA, 416 nt
Organism: Quercus robur (English oak)
Lineage: Eukaryota; Viridiplantae; Streptophyta; Magnoliopsida; Fagales; Fagaceae
Exons: 4
Source: RefSeq, a predicted model, not a curated record
CCAGUCCCCUCUCCGCCUCCAACGCCUAGUGCCGCCGCCGCUGUCCACUCCUCUCUCCAUAGCUACCGCCGGAGUCCUCACCCCGUGUACUCUUCACGGAGUCAGUAAGUUUUAUACAGGAUUGAAAGCUGACUCCAGUCUCCAAGUAUCAUUAUCUGCUCUGAAGUUUGAAACCCAUACACCCACGGUUUUCUUCAAGGAUUGAAAGCUGAAUCCAAGUAUCAUUAUCUGCCCUCAAGUUUGAAAACCAUACACCCACGGUUUUCUUCAAGGUCAUGGAAACCAACACUAAUGAACCCUCUGUCCAAACACCAGCUGCUACAGAAGAUGAUGGUGCUAUUCCCACCCAAGUUGAAGAUUCUACUGCUACCCAAGCUGAAGCAGCUGCUGCUUCUGAGUUGCCCCUAGUUCCACCA